Molecule: ribosomal RNA, 1115 nt
Filed under: Salmonella enterica
Lineage: Bacteria; Pseudomonadati; Pseudomonadota; Gammaproteobacteria; Enterobacterales; Enterobacteriaceae
Description: partial 23S ribosomal RNA
Rfam family: Bacterial large subunit ribosomal RNA
Source: RNAcentral
CCGUGCGAAGUCGCAAGACGAUGUAUACGGACUGACGCCUGCCCGGUGCUGGAAGGUUAAGAGGACCGGUUAGUUCUUCGGAGCGAAGCUGAGAAUUUAAGCCCCAGUAAACGGCGGUGGUAACUAUAACCAUCCUAAGGUAGCGAAAUUCCUUGUCGGGUAAGUUCCGACCUGCACGAAUGGCGUAACGACUUCUCCACUGUCUCAACCACGAACUCGGCGAAAUUGCACUACGAGUAAAGAUGCUCGUUACGCGCAGCAGGACGGAAAGACCCCGGGACCUUUACUACAGCUUGGUAUUGGUGUUCGGUACGGCUUGUGUAGGAUAGGUGGGAGACUGUGAAGCAUGCACGCCAGUGUGUGUGGAGUCAACGUUGAAAUACCACUCUGGUCGUUCUGGAUAUCUAACCUCGGUCCGUGAUCCGGAUCAGGGACAGUGCCUGGUGGGUAGUUUAACUGGGGCGGUUGCCUCCUAAAAGGUAACGGAGGCGCCCAAAGGUUCCCUCAGCCUGGUUGGCAAUCAGGUUUUGAGUGUAAGUGCACAAGGGAGCUUGACUGUGAGACAGGCAUGUCGAGCAGGGACGAAAGUCGGGACUAGUGAUCCGGCGGUGGCUUGUGGAAGCGCCGUCGCUCAACGGAUAAAAGGUACCCCGGGGAUAACAGGCUGAUCUUGCCCAAGAGUCCAUAUCGACGGCAUGGUUUGGCACCUCGAUGUCGGCUCGUCGCAUCCUGGGGCUGGAGUAGGUCCCAAGGGUUGGGCUGUUCGCCCAUUAAAGCGGUACGCGAGCUGGGUUUAGAACGUCGUGAGACAGUUCGGUCCCUAUCCGCUGUGCGCGUAGGAAACUUGAGAAGAGCUGUCCCUAGUACGAGAGGACCGGGAUGGACGAACCUCUGGUGUGUCAGUUGUUCUGCCAAGAGCACGGCUGAUUAGCUACGUUCGGAAGUGAUAACCGCUGAAAGCAUCUAAGCGGGAAGCACGCUUCAAGAUGAGGUUUCCAUGGGCUUCGGCCCGAGAGGCUCCCAGCUAGACUACUGGGUUGAUAGGCCAGACGUGGAAGCACAGUAAUGUGUGUAGCUGACUGGUACUAAUAAGCCGAUAACUUGACACAACAAAG